UCCUACCUACGCUAGCGCAUAGUUCGUACUCGCCUACCUCCCCGUCAACUACACCGUGACCAGGCUACCCCAUCCACCCAAGCCAGACGCAAUUCAAAAUUCGAAUCCCAGUCGCAGCUGCAUUGACCGGCGGAACCAUGCCCUCCUCAUCGUCGCGCCUGGAUCUCGAUAUUUCUUCACAAAUCACCAAUGAAUCUCGGCGCGGAGUCAUUCACGGAUCUCUUGUUCAGCUUCUGUUCCCAGCCGGUCGCAACCGUGGGCGUUCUAGAUCUGGCAUUGCCGGAGGGAGGGGAGGUGCGGUGAUGGAGGGAAAGAUGGUGAUAGCGAUUCUCCUUCCUCAAGUUCUGCAUCUCAAGUUCAAGAGGCAACGGAAGAUUUUUUUUCCAUGUCCCAGACAUUGACCAAACCGACAGUCACAGAGAGCAUCCAUCUGAAUCGCAACGCACUCCAACUCUAUGGCCUCAAAGAGCCCGAGUUGGCAAGAUACCCGACCGCCGCGCCUCAUUAUCAGGAAGGAAAAGUUCUUUGGAGAAGGCCAUGAGGAAUUUCGCAGAUAAGAAGUCAGGUACCGUCCACAAGCCGGAAAUCAGCGAGGAAUUUGAUUCUUUGGACGAAGCUUACGACUUCUACAACCUAUACUCUUGGGAGACUGGGUUCGGCAUCAAGUAUGGGCAAUGCAGAAGAAACGUGGACAAGUGCAAGAGGUCCAGGACAUGGUUUUCAGAUGCCAAGUAGUGAAUAUAUUUGAUUCAAGACAUGUAAACUUGGCAGUGUUACAAGGACGUGUACAUUUUGCCAUUGUACUGAUGUGAGUACAAAGUGCAACUAAAAUUGUACAUGGGUUGUUCAUUUCGGACAAAGCGUCAUGUGUUUUGCUUUCUUCUUAGGCCUUGUAUAAUGCUAGAUGCUUAGGGAGAUGCUUAGAAAAAUAAACCGGGUUUUUCUGAAGCACCGGUGUCUAUUUCUAUAGAAGAGACGCCUAACUAAGCGUCUAUCCUGUACAAAUAAGCAUUAGUGCUUAGAGAAAGCCUGGUUUAUUUCUCUAAGCACCUCGAGUAAGCACCUUGCAUUGUACAUAAUAUCCUACAUUUCGGAUUUUAUAAAGAGGAGGAUCGUCAUUCUUGACCCAA
Long non-coding RNA from Triticum aestivum (bread wheat), 1130 nucleotides. RefSeq lists it as uncharacterized. The record is from RefSeq and is a predicted model, not a curated record. The transcript has 3 exons. Lineage: Eukaryota; Viridiplantae; Streptophyta; Magnoliopsida; Poales; Poaceae.